Arachis ipaensis is the source of this 663-nucleotide non-coding RNA. NCBI's taxonomy places the organism in Eukaryota, Viridiplantae, Streptophyta, Magnoliopsida, Fabales, Fabaceae. The record is from RefSeq and is a predicted model, not a curated record.
AAUUUCAAAUCUGCACUGUGAUGUCAUACAAAUCAUAUAAAUCAUUGAGAAACUGUGUUGAUCUUUUUCUCCACAUCUGUUGUAGUGCUCAAAUAUAUUCUUGAAAAAAGAUCAAGAUAUACGUUAAUUGUUUCUUUUGACUUCACAUGUCAUUUGGAACAGUCAAUCACUAUGUGCAGGACUUAUUUUUACCCCCAUCAAGCAAUCAAUCCAGAAUUUCUUUCCAGUCAAAACUUGUUUAGAAAUGGGGAGUUUGCUGAGAGGAAGGACAAUGGGAAGAUGGCUGGAGGAUCAAAAGGAGAGGAAAAAGCAGGAAAUUACGACUCAUAAUGCUCAGUUGCAUGCUGCAGUAUCCGUGGCAGGCAUAGCUGCUGCUGUUGUGGCCAUUGCAGCUUCAAUAGAGUGUACAUUGUAGAAUCAAUAGAGUGUACAUAGUAGCCAUAAGAAAGUGUACAUAGCUGCCAUAAAGUUCUACACUUACCAUAUGAGUGGUCUCUAGCUUAGCUUGCAUUGUUCAAGAAAUUUUAGAAAAUUCUAAGGAUGCUACUCUACUAAUUUUUGUGAGACAUGGAUGUAAUUUUCACUCCAUAUGGAUGUAUAACUGUAUAUUAUUGAAUAAGUAGAGUUAUAUGCAAAGAAAUAUUAUAUAGAUAAUCUAUUUUU